GCGUGUAUGCGGUCUUUCAAGUCCGAUGCUAAAGACUGGGGCUCAACCCCAGGGGUGCGUUGGAUACUGUGAGGCUAGACGGUCGGAGGGGGUAGCGGAAUUUCCGGAGUAGCGGUGAAAUGCGCAGAUACCGGAAGGAACGCCAAUAGCGAAGGCAGCUACCUGGACGACUUGUGACGCUGAGGCGCGAAAGCGUGGGGAGCAAACCGGAUUAGAUACCCGGGUAGUCCACGCCCUAAACCAUGAGUGCUGGGUGUCCGGCUCCUGCUGGGUGCCGUAGCUAACGCGCUAAGCACUCCGCCUGGGAAGUACGCACGCAAGUGUGAAACUCAAAGGAAUUGACGGGGGCCCGCACAAGCGGUGGAGCAUGUGGUUUAAUUCGAAGCGACGCGAAGAACCUUACCAGGCCUUGACAUGCCCGGAACCCCUCUGAAAGGAGGGGGUGCCCGCAAGGGAGCCGGGACACAGGUGCUGCAUGGCCGUCGUCAGCUCGUGUCGUGAGAUGUUGGGUUAAGUCCCGCAACGAGCGCAACCCCUAUCCCUAGUUGCCAGCAGUUCGGCUGGGCACUCUAUGGAGACUGCCUGCGAAAGCAGGAGGAAGGCGGGGAUGACGUCUGGUCCGCAUGGCCCUUACGGCCUGGGCGACACACGUGCUACAAUGCCAAGGACAGAGCGCUGCUACCUCGCGAGAGGACGCCAAUCGCAUAAACCUUGGCUCAGUUCGGAUUGGAGUCUGCAACUCGAC
This 745-nucleotide ribosomal RNA is filed under the name uncultured Thermaceae bacterium. RNAcentral's name for it is "bacterial SSU rRNA". It matches the Rfam family "Bacterial small subunit ribosomal RNA", at positions 567 to 1316 of the family's 1533-position model. Lineage: Bacteria; Thermotogati; Deinococcota; Deinococci; Thermales; Thermaceae. The record is from RNAcentral.